RNAcentral lists this long non-coding RNA (439 nucleotides) under Danio rerio (zebrafish). RNAcentral's name for it is "lncRNA si:ch73-374e19.2 (ENSDARG00000097781.2)". The record is from RNAcentral. Lineage: Eukaryota; Metazoa; Chordata; Actinopteri; Cypriniformes; Danionidae.
GGAGGAAUCAAAGACACCGAUUACACCGCCGUCCCUUACCGCUGGAGCAUCAGCACCGGUCCCGAAGCACACCUCCAACGCUCUCCUCACCAAAACACGAAAACACCAGCGACUGGAAGCGGUCGCGAGGAAUAUAUUACUCUCCUAACAGAACAAUGAACGCGCGCUGAUUUCUCAGUGGGUGAAUCUAGGUGAUUUUCCAGUAUGACACGAACAACAAGCAGUGUGACAGACUCAAUCCAGAUCAAGUCGCAAGAACAAUGGGACAUUUUCUGGAGUAGGGAAAAAUGUUUAUAAUGGGUGAUAGUGUCUAGAGACUGUGAAUGUGGUUCGCUGUGGCGCUGAAACUGCAGACACAAAAAGCCUACAACUCGCACCCCCUGCAGUCCAAUGAGAUGCUAAGUGAUGUUUACAAUAAACAUAAUCUAUUGUUUAUUGA